Zootermopsis nevadensis is the source of this 2304-nucleotide long non-coding RNA. RefSeq lists it as uncharacterized. NCBI's taxonomy places the organism in Eukaryota, Metazoa, Arthropoda, Insecta, Blattodea, Termopsidae. The record is from RefSeq and is a predicted model, not a curated record.
AUUUGUGUUCAGAUGGGUAUCUGCUGUAGCUGGUGUUCUCAUGUUGCGACCCGCAUGUAGUUUAGUGCAGUCCGGGUGUAAUUUUGUAAUAUUGUGUUUCCUGUGUGAUGGCAAAGAGAGACCUGUUAUCGGAAAACGCUUUGUUAAUGACGUGUCGAUGUACACAUUCAUUCAAUUAAUCCUAUUAGACAUUUGAAAGGACUCCUAGGACAAGUCAGCCCGUCACAAGGCCUCUACUUGUACACAGGACAGCACAACACAGAAGGAGGCGGACAAACAUAAAUGCCUUAAGUGGGAUUCGAACACACGGUCCCAGUGCCAAAGCGCACGAGGUCUGUGCCUCAGACAGCGUGGCCACGACGUCCGGCACGUAAAACCCUAACUAAACAUAAUUUAAACAUUAUCCUUUUAAACAUUCCUAUGGUAGAUCCUAAUAAUGUUGUCACUAAAGUGAAUUAAUCUCUUUUCAAAUAAAUUGGCGAAUGUUUUAUCAAUUCAAACCUUUAAAAGUUAAAAGUAAUUUUUUGUUGCUUGAGUUUAUCAUUUGGGGCUGUUUUUGUGCUAUUUCUCUCAUUAUUCCACUUCAUUUAAUUUCUAGCAAAUGACGUAACUAAGGGAAGGAGUGCAAACGAUUCCGUCUUGUGUCUGACUUUGGUAGUAGGCCUUCGUAAUUUUUAUGUUUCUAAACGGCGUUCCAUAAGGGAGAAGCGUUUAUAUUAGUAGUACUAGCCCGACUAACACCUUUAAAAAAAUAAGUAAUUUGUCGUUUAGGGGUACUUUAUGAACUGGAACACAGAAGAAUCAAUCACACAAAAUACAUCAUUAACCAGCUUUAAACCAGCCCAUCACAUGCGUUAUUAACCAUAGAUAUACCUGCACGGUGUUAGCCACCACGUUCGGGCUUACGUUCGUCAUAUCUUUGCACAGGCGCAAUUACGAGAUAUAGUGUAGGUUUAUGGAGUGACCUUUAAAUCUAAGAUAUUCGCCAAACCUUGAUUUUUAACAAGCUACGUGCUUGCGAGCUGGCGUUUGACUUAGUGCGCUGCAUCUAAUCUAUUUGCUCUUUUAAUUGUUUAGCCUUUGAUGUACGCAUGUGUCGUGUUGUGGCUUGUGAUUGAGCAUAAAGAAAGAUUCAGUACGAUAAAUAUGUUCAAUUGCCACAAUUUCCACAUCUCGCAACAAAGGAAUUUGGCUAACACUUUCGCAAAUUCACGUUCCAUUUUUGAUGUACUUCCAAUUUUUGGUGUUAUAGGCUGUUAGGGGAGCUCGCACACAUUGUCCUAGGGCUACACUGUCUACGGUUAAUAUUAUCGUAUUAAUAGAAAUACCAGGUCAACCCCUCAACAAAAAAUUUUCCAGGGCCACUCCCUGGAGCGUCCUGGAACAACAGCACUCAUUGCACACAAUUAAGCGAACACAACUGAGUACCUUCCUUGAAGCCUAGCUGUAGUUUAAUUGAAAUGAACAGUGAAUGACAUAAGAGUCUUCUUUUUGACUAAAUUCCUGUAACACACUUGGACGUAAAGCGCACAGACAAACAUCUGCAUACCAUCGUCGAAAGACCUUUCGACCAUUCUGCAUACAUUCAAUAAAGAGCGUUUCGAACUCGUGGGGACAAAAGACGUAGAGGUAUUUUUUCUCUUAAACGUUCUAUGUGAAUGUUUUUAAAGUCGCAAGACAACAAUAUACUUAAAACCUGUAUUACAUUCGCUUGCGUCUCCCCUGUGCGCAGUUCUGCCCAAGGUAUGGUACAGCUAGUUUGACUUAAGUGUUUUUACCAGUAAAAAGUAAAAAAAAUUCUGACUUUGAACUCAAUUCCACGACCGUGUGACAAAGGCAAAUUCUUUGAAAUUUUCUCACCUAAAGCUCUUUAUAUUAAGAGCAAUGCGUUUACUUCGUUCUUCACUUCAGCCGAAUAUUGACACUGUUCUCACCGUUAAAUUAAAAUGGUGUACUGUGGGGCCAGUUGUUACACUGGAUAAUGGGCACCUUGUUACAGUGUACCAGUGUGACCCAUAUUUUUGCAAUAACUUGCGUUGGCAAAUGAUUACAUUUUAUUUUUUUAUCAUUAAAGAUGGUACGAACAUACAAAAGGAAGACUAAUAGAGUUAAUACAAGUUUGGAAACGUUUAAGUUAGCAGCUGAAGUAGUCUUUUCUGGAAGAAUCUCGUUAAGGCAAACUGUUAAUAUAUGAAAAAAAUGUUUCGUAUGUUUAAAGUUAAUUUCUGUAAUUAAUUGUUAAUUGGUAUAUUGUCUGUAAUUAAUUACUUAAUAAAGGUCUGAAUUGUUCCUUCUGUUUACUAA